AUAUCUCUCUGUACGGGAAGGAUGAGAAGCUUCGACUAAGGUUCGAUUCGAGCGUCAGCGAGAAAGCGUUGCCGCAGGCAACGACCCGAAGAGCGAAGCGCGCAGCGCUGAGUCAUCCUUCCCCCACCACCA
This 132-nucleotide small RNA is filed under the name Salmonella enterica. RNAcentral's name for it is "RtT sRNA". It matches the Rfam family "RtT RNA". From Rfam's summary of the family: This family represents a bacterial cis-regulatory element known as RtT RNA. The exact function of RtT is unknown although it is thought that it may be involved in changing the cellular response in relation to amino acid starvation. The record is from RNAcentral. RNAcentral also lists the same sequence under 1 other name. Lineage: Bacteria; Pseudomonadati; Pseudomonadota; Gammaproteobacteria; Enterobacterales; Enterobacteriaceae.